CAGGGAUUGCCUCAGUAACGGCGAGUGAAGCGGCAAAAGCUCAAAUUUGAAAUCUGGCCUCACGGUCCGAGUUGUAAUUUGUAGAGGAUGCUUCGAACGUGGUCCGGUCUAAGUUCCUUGGAACAGGACGUCAUAGAGGGUGAGAAUCCCGUAUGUGCCCGGGUGCCAUUGUUCAUGUGAAGCUCCUUCGACGAGUCGAGUUGUUUGGGAAUGCAGCUCAAAAUGGGUGGUAAAUUUCAUCUAAAGCUAAAUACUGGCCAGAGACCGAUAGCGCACAAGUAGAGUGAUCGAAAGAUGAAAAGCACUUUGGAAAGAGAGUUAAACAGUACGUGAAAUUGUUGAAAGGGAAGCGCUUGCAAUCAGACUUGCAUGCAGUCGAUCAUCCGAUGUUCUCACCGGUGCACUCGAUUGUAUUCAGGCCAGCAUCGGUUUUGGUGGUUGGAUAAAGGCCUUAGGAACGUGGCUCCCCUCGGGGAGUGUUAUAGCCUAAGGUGCAAUGCAGCCUACCGGGACCGAGGACCGCGCUUCGGCUAGGAUGCUGGCGUAAUGGUUGUAAGCGACCCGUCUUGAAACACGGACCAAGGAGUCUAACAUCUAUGCGAGUGUUUGGGUGUAAAACCCAUACGCGUAAUGAAAGUGAACGGAGGUGAGAACCCUUAAGGGUGCAUCAUCGACCGAUCCUGAAGUCUUCGGAUGGAUUUGAGUAAGAGCAUAGCUGUUGGGACCCGAAAGAUGGUGAACUAUGCCUGAAUAGGGUGAAGCCAGAGGAAACUCUGGUGGAGGCUCGCAGCGGUUCUGACGUGCAAAUCGAUCGUCAAAUUUGGGUAUAGGGGCGAAAGACUAAUCGAACCAUCUAGUAGCUGGUUCCUGCCGAAGUUUCCCUCAGGA
RNAcentral lists this ribosomal RNA (888 nucleotides) under Japewia tornoensis. RNAcentral describes it as "LSU rRNA". It matches the Rfam family "Eukaryotic large subunit ribosomal RNA", at positions 69 to 978 of the family's 3401-position model. Lineage: Eukaryota; Fungi; Ascomycota; Lecanoromycetes; Lecanorales; Ramalinaceae. The record is from RNAcentral.